CCUACGAGAGGCAGCAGUGAGGAAUAUUGGUCAAUGGGCGCGAGCCUGAACCAGCCAAGUAGCGUGAAGGAUGACUGCCCUACGGGUUGUAAACUUCUUUUAUAAAGGAAUAAAAUGUUCCACGUGUGGGAUUUUGUAUGUACCAUAUGAAUAAGGAUCGGCUAACUCCGUGCCAGCAGCCGCGUUAAUACGGAGGAUCCGAGCGUUAUCCGGAUUUAUUGGGUUUAAAGGGAGCGUAGGUGGAUUGUUAAGUCAGUUGUGAAAGUUUGCGGCUCAACCGUAAAAUUGCAGUUGAAACUGGCAGUAUUGAGGACAGUAGAGGUAGGCGGAAUUCGUGGGGUAGCGGUGAAAUGCUUAGAUAUCACGAAGAACUCCGAUUGCGAAGGCAGUUCACUGGACUGCAACUGACACUGAGGCUCGAAAGUGUGGGUAUCAAACAGGAUUAGAUACCCUUGUAGUC
RNAcentral lists this ribosomal RNA (460 nucleotides) under uncultured bacterium. Its description in RNAcentral is "partial 16S ribosomal RNA". It matches the Rfam family "Bacterial small subunit ribosomal RNA", at positions 338 to 795 of the family's 1533-position model. The record is from RNAcentral.